CCUACGGGUGGCAGCAGUGAGGAAUAUUGGUCAAUGGACGCAAGUCUGAACCAGCCAUGCAGCGUGAAGGAAGACGGCUCUAUGAGUUGUAAACUGCUUUUGUACGAGGGUAAACGCAGAUACGCGUAUCUGUCUGAAAGUAUCGUACGAAUAAGGAUCGGCUAACUCCGUGCCAGCAGCCGCGGUAAUACGGAGGAUUCAAGCGUUAUCCGGAUUGAUUGGGUUUAAAGGGAGCGUAGGGGGUCGGUUAAGUUAGAGGUGAAAUCCCGAGGCUCAACUUCGGAAUUGCCUCUGAUACUGUUCGUCUAGAGUGUAGUUGCGGUAGGCGGAAUGUGUGGUGUAGCGGUGAAAUGCUUAGAUAUCAUGCAGAACACCGAUUGCGAAGGCAGCUUACCAAGCUACUUCUGACGUUGAUGCACGAAAGCGUGGGGAGCAAACAGGAUUAGAUACCCGAGUAGUC
RNAcentral lists this ribosomal RNA (460 nucleotides) under uncultured bacterium. Its description in RNAcentral is "partial 16S ribosomal RNA". It matches the Rfam family "Bacterial small subunit ribosomal RNA", at positions 338 to 795 of the family's 1533-position model. The record is from RNAcentral.